This 1065-nucleotide long non-coding RNA is filed under the name Zea mays. RNAcentral describes it as "long non-coding RNA (ZMAY_LNC005022)". The record is from RNAcentral. Lineage: Eukaryota; Viridiplantae; Streptophyta; Magnoliopsida; Poales; Poaceae.
ACUGAGUUAUCAGCCCCACCAGAAACAAUCCAUCGGCCAUCAGGAGUAAAUUUAAGCACAUUAAUUCGUUGGGUAUGACUAGAGAUGUCAAUGGGGAAUUCCCCAUCGGGUUAUAACAUCUCAUACCCAUCCUCAUCAUGUUUGAUCCAUCCCCAUACCCAUCCCCAUACCCAUCAUGGGUACAAAACUCAUCCCAUACCCAUCCCCAUUCGGGUUUUAGGUCCCCAAUGGGUCCUCAUCCCCAAUUAAGGGAUAACUAGGUACUAGCAUGUAGCACAAACAAUCUAGAUUUCAGACAUCACUACAUCGACAAGCACUCAUCCAUGAACCAUGAUCCAUUCAUCCAUCCAUCAGAAAAGACAUAAGUACUUCGGGACCGAUAGAAGAAAUGGAGAAAUGGAGGUUUCUCACCUUCCUUGGUCACCAUCUGAGUUUGUUGGCGCCUGAGAAUCCAUGGUCGUCACCGUCGUCCGGGCAGGGCGUAGCAUAUGGCUGGUUAUUUUAGGGUUUUAUUUUUUUACUAGUCUGCUAGUUGCCUUGUUGGGCUAGGACCUGGGGCCUGGUGCGCUGUCAUGCUGGGUUUGGUGGCCGGCUCGGCCUCAACUCAUUCAUACAAACACGACAGGUGUAAACGUAUGAAAUACCCAUGGGUAAUCGGGUUCAGAUUAUUGCUUCCCAAACCCAUACCCGUUUACCCAAUGGGUGGAGAUUUUGUCACAUAUCCAUACCCAUGGGGACAAUUUUCGUUCCAUACCCGUACCCUAAUAGGAGAAUUCCCCACGGGUUGGCGGGUAUCGGGUCCCCAUUGACAUCUCUAGGUAUGACCCUUGUAUGUGUGGAUGCAUCUCUUCUGUUGAGUAUCCCAUAUUUUCAUGUUUGUAUCUGAAGACCCAGUGGCUAAGAAUUCUCCAAAAGGAUGGAAAUCAAGAGAUGCACAGCUUGAUCUGUGUCCAGUGAAAGUUCGAACAACUGCACAUUAUGCAAAUUGUCAAUAGAAACUGAGAUUAUUGCAAGACAUAGUUGCAGUUCAUGUUUUCAAUGCACUGACUGUUGAGUACCAACACU